This is a small nucleolar RNA of Coffea eugenioides, 107 nucleotides long. The record is from RefSeq and is a predicted model, not a curated record. Lineage: Eukaryota; Viridiplantae; Streptophyta; Magnoliopsida; Gentianales; Rubiaceae.
AAACCAUGAUGAGGGUAUCUUCAUUGUAGCUCCUGAUAACGCUCCCAAAUCUCAUACAAUGUCUCUCCUUCCUGUUGACAAAAACUAGUUAUAUCCAUACAAAAUUU